GCUCUGUUGGUGUAGUCUGGCCAAUCGGCCUUUCGAGCCGAUGACCUGGGUUCAAAUUCCAGACGGAGCA
This 70-nucleotide transfer RNA is filed under the name Haloterrigena salina JCM 13891. It matches the Rfam family "tRNA". Rfam says of the family: Transfer RNA (tRNA) molecules are approximately 80 nucleotides in length. Their secondary structure includes four short double-helical elements and three loops (D, anti-codon, and T loops). Further hydrogen bonds mediate the characteristic L-shaped molecular structure. tRNAs have two regions of fundamental functional importance: the anti-codon, which is responsible for specific mRNA codon recognition, and the 3' end, to which the tRNAs corresponding amino acid is attached (by aminoacyl-tRNA synthetases). tRNAs cope with the degeneracy of the genetic code in two manners: having more than one tRNA (with a specific anti-codon) for a particular amino acid; and 'wobble' base-pairing, i.e. permitting non-standard base-pairing at the 3rd anti-codon position. Lineage: Archaea; Methanobacteriati; Methanobacteriota; Halobacteria; Halobacteriales; Natrialbaceae. The record is from Rfam by way of RNAcentral.